This 24-nucleotide non-coding RNA is filed under the name Arabidopsis thaliana (thale cress). Lineage: Eukaryota; Viridiplantae; Streptophyta; Magnoliopsida; Brassicales; Brassicaceae. The record is from RNAcentral.
AUAUAUGCAUACAUCUCUUAUAAC